Molecule: ribosomal RNA, 255 nt
Filed under: uncultured bacterium
Lineage: Bacteria
Description: partial 16S ribosomal RNA
Rfam family: Bacterial small subunit ribosomal RNA
Source: RNAcentral
GCAAGUCUAGGAGAAAGCUUUCUUCGGAAAGUGAUUAAACUGGCGCACGGGUGAGGAAUAUGUAAGUAAUCUACCCAUAAAUUGGGAAUAACACCUCGAAAGAGAUGCUAAUACCAAAUAAGAUACCGUUACCGCAUGGUAGUGGUAUUAAAGAUGCUUCGGCAUUGUUUAUGGAUAAGCUUGCAUCUGAUUAGCUAGUUGGUGGGGUAAAAGCCUACCAAGGCGAUGAUCCGUAGCUGGUCUGAGAGGAUGAUC